Small nucleolar RNA from Drosophila melanogaster (fruit fly), 126 nucleotides. NCBI's taxonomy places the organism in Eukaryota, Metazoa, Arthropoda, Insecta, Diptera, Drosophilidae. The record is from Ensembl.
GUGGAGACAAAGUUUACAUUUUAACAGUAUUAUCGUUUUUAUGUCUACAAUGCUCCGAAAUCAAUAUCCGAUCCAAUUAUCCAAAGCAGUCUUAUAUUUCCUUGGAUGAUUUCUUUCGUUACAAAA